CCGAGUUUACAACUCCCAAACCCCUGUGAACAUACCUUAACGUUGCUUCGGCGGACAACCCUCGCCUAACCGCGAGGGCCCGCCAGAGGACCCCAAACCCAACUUUAUGUUUUUUGUCUUGCAAAACGAACUUCUGAGUGGAUUUUAUAAAUCAAAUCA
Molecule: unclassified non-coding RNA, 159 nt
Filed under: uncultured Cylindrocarpon
Lineage: Eukaryota; Fungi; Ascomycota; Sordariomycetes; Hypocreales; Nectriaceae
Description: sequence contains ITS1
Source: RNAcentral